Molecule: ribosomal RNA, 1220 nt
Filed under: Acinetobacter baumannii
Lineage: Bacteria; Pseudomonadati; Pseudomonadota; Gammaproteobacteria; Moraxellales; Moraxellaceae
Description: partial 23S ribosomal RNA
Rfam family: Bacterial large subunit ribosomal RNA
Source: RNAcentral
UACCGUAACUUCGGGAGAAGGUACGCUGUUGUUGGUGAUGGAACUCGCUUCCUGAGCUGACGACAGCCGCAGAAACCAGGCCGCUGCAACUGUUUAUUAAAAACAUAGCACUCUGCAAACACGAAAGUGGACGUAUAGGGUGUGAUGCCUGCCCGGUGCUGGAAGGUUAAUUGAUGGGGUUAGCGUAAGCGAAGCUCUUGAUCGAAGCCCCAGUAAACGGCGGCCGUAACUAUAACGGUCCUAAGGUAGCGAAAUUCCUUGUCGGGUAAGUUCCGACCUGCACGAAUGGCAUAAUGAUGGCGGCGCUGUCUCCAGCAGAGGCUCAGUGAAAUCGAAAUCGCUGUGAAGAUGCAGUGUACCCGCGGCUAGACGGAAAGACCCCGUGAACCUUUACUGCAGCUUGACACUGAACUUUGACCUUACUUGUGUAGGAUAGGUGGGAGGCUUUGAAGCUGGAACGCUAGUUCCAGUGGAGCCGUCCUUGAAAUACCACCCUGGUAAUGUUGAGGUUCUAACUCUGUCCCGUGAUCCGGGACGAGGACCGUGUCUGGUGGGUAGUUUGACUGGGGCGGUCUCCUCCUAAAGAGUAACGGAGGAGUACGAAGGUGCGCUCAGCGUGGUCGGAAAUCACGCGUAGAGUAUAAAGGCAAAAGCGCGCUUAACUGCGAGACCCACAAGUCGAGCAGGUACGAAAGUAGGUCUUAGUGAUCCGGUGGUUCUGUAUGGAAGGGCCAUCGCUCAACGGAUAAAAGGUACUCUGGGGAUAACAGGCUGAUACCGCCCAAGAGUUCAUAUCGACGGCGGUGUUUGGCACCUCGAUGUCGGCUCAUCUCAUCCUGGGGCUGAAGCAGGUCCCAAGGGUAUGGCUGUUCGCCAUUUAAAGAGGUACGCGAGCUGGGUUUAGAACGUCGUGAGACAGUUCGGUCCCUAUCUACCGUGGGCGCUGGAAAUUUGAGAGGAUCUGCUCCUAGUACGAGAGGACCAGAGUGGACGAACCUCUGGUGUACCGGUUGUGACGCCAGUCGCAUCGCCGGGUAGCUAUGUUCGGAAGGGAUAACCGCUGAAAGCAUCUAAGCGGGAAGCCUACCUCAAGAUAAGAUUUCCCUAGGACUUUAUGUCCUCUAAAGAGCCGUUCGAGACUAGGACGUUGAUAGGUUGGAUGUGGAAGCAUAGUGAUAUGUGAAGCUGACCAAUACUAAUUGCUCGUGAGGCUUGACUAU